CCUACGGGAGGCUGCAGUGGGGAAUAUUGGUAAUCUGCGAAAGCGGGAACCAGCAACGCCGCGUGUGCGAUGAAGGCCUUCGGGUUGUAAAGCACUUUUUGAGGGGAUGAGGAAGGACAGUACCCUCAGAAUAAGCCUCGGCUAACUACGUGCCAGCAGCCGCGGUAACACGUAGGAGGCGAGCGUUAUUCGGAUUUACUGGGUGUAAAGCGCGUGCAGGCGGUUCGAAAAGUUGGAUGUGAAAGCUCCUGGCUUAACUGGGAGAGGUCGUUCAAUACUAUCGGACUAGAGGAUGAGAGAGGGAGGUGGAAUUCCGAGUGUAGUGGUGGAAUGCGUAGAUAUUCGGAGGAACACCAGUGGCGAAAGCGGCCUCCUGGCUCAUAACUGACGCUCAGACGCGAAAGCUAGGGUAGCAAACGGGAUUAGAUACCCCGGUAGUC
This 440-nucleotide ribosomal RNA is filed under the name uncultured Anaerolineaceae bacterium. RNAcentral describes it as "bacterial SSU rRNA". It matches the Rfam family "Bacterial small subunit ribosomal RNA", at positions 338 to 795 of the family's 1533-position model. Lineage: Bacteria; Bacillati; Chloroflexota; Anaerolineae; Anaerolineales; Anaerolineaceae. The record is from RNAcentral.